Molecule: long non-coding RNA, 556 nt
Filed under: Gopherus agassizii (Agassiz's desert tortoise)
Lineage: Eukaryota; Metazoa; Chordata; Testudines; Testudinidae
Description: lncRNA (ENSGAGG00000025701.1)
Source: RNAcentral
AAACACCCGGAGCCGGGAUCCAGCUGCAGCGCCUCCACCAGACCCUCUAGUUCCCGUGGAUCCGGACCCGAACCGCCCGGACCCGAUCCAGUCUGACAGCUGCAGCCCUGAACCCUCCUAGAACCGAAUUAACCCGCGACUACCCCGACCACACUCCCCGAUCCUUCCUCGCCAUGGGAGACCCCUUCCACUGCUCCCUGCUGCGCACCCCUCGUGGCCGGUUCCGCGUCUCGCUGCCCCCGGGGGGUGAGUUCCUGCUGGGGACCCCGGAGCCCCUGAGUCGGCUGGGCGCCGCUGGGCAAAGCUUCUGCAUCCCUAUCAGUGAGAUGGUCAGGGUGCAGCUGGGCGGGUCUGGUUCGUCCCUCACAGUGGAGGGAAACCAAUUCACAGUUUUCUUUGUGCAGCGGGAGAAGCAUCAGCGCUGGAGCCUGGGCUCCCUGGAGUUCACUGUGACCCCUGGCUCGGGGCUGGCCCCACGCUGGGUCGAUGCCCUGCAGUGUAGCAUCCAGCUGCAUGGUCAGUACUGGGGGUAGGGGCGGUCAGUAGUGGGGAACAA